RNAcentral lists this ribosomal RNA (458 nucleotides) under uncultured bacterium. Its description in RNAcentral is "bacterial SSU rRNA". It matches the Rfam family "Bacterial small subunit ribosomal RNA", at positions 340 to 786 of the family's 1533-position model. The record is from RNAcentral.
UACGGAAGGCAGCAGUGGGGAAUAUUGCACAAUGGGCGAAAGCCUGAUGCAGCUAUGCCGCGUGUAUGAAGAAGGCCUUAGGGUUGUAAAGUACUUUCAUCGGGGAGGAAAAAACAAAACUAAUAAUUUUAUUUCUUGACGUUACCCGAAAAAGAAGCACCGGCUAACUCCGUGCCAGCAGCCGCGGUAAUACGGAGGGUGCUAGCGUUAAUCAGAAUUACUGGGCGUAAAGAGCACGUAGGUGGUUUUUUAAGUCAGAUGUGAAAUCCCUGGGCUUAACCUGGAACUGCAUUUUGAAACUGAAAUACUAGAGUAUCGUAGAGGGAGGUAGAAUUCUAGGUGUAGCGGUGAAAUGCGUAGAUAUCUGGAGGAAUACCUGUGGCGAAAGCGGCCUCCUAAACGAAUACUGACACUGAGGUGCGAAAAGCGUGGGGAGCGAAAACAGGGAUUAGGAUACC